GCCUGUUUGGCUCAGUGGAUAGAGCGUCAGCCUGUGGACUGAAGGGUCCAGGGUUCGAUUCCCAGUCAGGGCA
RNAcentral lists this transfer RNA (73 nucleotides) under Myotis brandtii (Brandt's bat). It matches the Rfam family "tRNA". Rfam says of the family: Transfer RNA (tRNA) molecules are approximately 80 nucleotides in length. The record is from Rfam by way of RNAcentral. Lineage: Eukaryota; Metazoa; Chordata; Mammalia; Chiroptera; Vespertilionidae.